Molecule: unclassified non-coding RNA, 2481 nt
Filed under: Hevea brasiliensis (rubber tree)
Lineage: Eukaryota; Viridiplantae; Streptophyta; Magnoliopsida; Malpighiales; Euphorbiaceae
Source: RNAcentral
ACGAAAUUGGCCGAAGCUCCAAAGCUACAAUUGAGAAGGGUUGUGAUCACACAUCAGAAAGUGGGGGCGGAAUAACAUUUUGAUGAUACAUCAAAUACAUUGACCAGAACUUCAGCAACAAUAAGAUUAUCGUGGAGCAAGCUUAAACUGAUAUUUAAAAAUAAAAAUACAUAAAGGAACAGAUUUGGGAACCCGUCAAUGUAAAAAUUUACAAUAGCAGCCUGAAACACAAGAUCUACGUAUCAGAGCUACAAUAUGCAAUUCUCUACUACCGUUUUGGUGAUGUAAGUUGCCUCAGGUUGUACUUGGCCAACUCCUUGUACUUUUCAACCACGCCAAUCAAGCACACAGUCCUAACAAUUUCAACUACGAUUGUCUUGUCAGGAUUGCUAAGGUCGACUUUAUGUGGCCCAGGAACAGAUUUUGCAACUGAAUUUAUAAUUUUCAUCCUGUCAAUGCCAGUGUUUGCACGAGCUUCAUAAAGCACAGCAAACUUCUGCGGCUCUCGAGUAUCCACAGGAAAAUAUUUUGCCACAACUGGAGUCAUUGCUUUUGAAAUUUCCUCUUCUGAAGCAUAGCACGAAACUUCAAUUGGCAACACUCUUAAGAUAAACCUACAUAUGAAAACAGAACUUUAGCCACCUCAUAUAAUACGACAAUUUUCUCAUGCAGCUUAUAUGAGACUUCUUCCAGCACUAGGCAUGCCAAUUUGCUUGUCUUACACAUGAAGCCUACAGCUAAUAGCCUACAAGUCCCAAAAAAAGCAAAAAGAUCCAGCCAGCACUGGUUGGAAGUUAUGCACUAGAUAAAAUUUAAUCAAACAGAUAAGCAUUUCAUAAACCUUGACAUGUGUUUCCUAGUUGAUGCAGCAGAAGUCAUCAUGUGCUGUACAAUAUCUCUAGGAGAAGGGUCUCCAUCUCUCUUGCGCAUUUGAACAAAAGCAACACCAUUACAACCUGAAUCAAGAUUUGCAAAGCGCCUCUGUUUGAACAUUACAACAUUAAAUAGCACAAAAAAAGUAUGAGGAGGCAGUCAUAACUCACAAAUAGUUAUCAAGGAUGGACUCCAUCCUUUUCUUAUAUCCACAAAUAACAAUGGGAAUUAGAUAAUUGAGCAUAAUCUACAAGAUUGGAGAUUAAAUUAGCCAAGAAAACAGUUCUAGAAUAAAACCAAAGUAAGUGCUACCAACUCUAGACCACUCAUGCAAUUGUCAGUGUUUGAAUGUUAACUUUGUCACUGUUUUCACAAACAUACCACCUUCAUGAAGCAGAAUCAGGAUACACAUUUUUGCAUGCCAUGGUCGUAUAUUACAAUGCAGCUUGUUUGUCUUAUUUUUCUCAGGCCAAACACUAAUCAUAUCUUCCGGCCAUCAAAACAAUAAAUUUAUUUCUGUUUUUUUCUUAAUUAAGUACUUAUAGUAAAGCUAAAUCAUUCUUAUCAAAUACCUGCUCAACGUAAUUCUUACAGAUGGAUGUACCAAAUAAACAAAAAGAGAAUUUACUGAUAUACAUAAUCAUUACAAAUUAUAUAGAUAACAAUCACAAAAAAAAAUACAGACAAGGGGAAGAAAGAGCACAUCACCAGAAUAAAACAACAAUGAAAAGCCUACAAAUGGGAUAACUACACCCACAUAAGCAAUUUUAGUGUUCAUCUAAUUUAGGAACUGUUAUUUAUUACUUUUAUGUAAGUAUGGAACAUCAAGACAAAAAAAUGAAAAUAAAUGGGAAAAGAGGCAGAAUAUUACUCACCUUACUCCUAUCUCCAAUUUCUUUGAGUUCAUCUUCAAUAAGCUUAUCAAUGGAUUUCUGCUCCACCUUUUCAUGGACAACAGAUUUUGAGACACAUGUUUCUAUGCAUUGCUUCUUCACUGGAGGCUCCUUGGCUUCAUUUGUUUGAUUUUCCAGAUCUUUAGCACUCUCUUCAUUAUCAUUAGUGUUUUCUUCCGUUUGAUUUCCACAGCACAAAUUCUCCACAUUAAUAUCUAACUUCUCAUUUGUUGGACUUUCACUUUUAACAUCAUUGUUUUGGUUUGUAUCUGGUUUAUUCUCUUCCUCCCCAUCCUCCUCUUCAUCCUCUUCCCCCUCCACCUCAUUAUCAUCUUCUUCUCUUUCUUCAUCGUCAUCAGAAUAUACAAACUUUAUCUUUUUAUUUAAAGGUUUAUUAGGCAACUCUGCUGGCUUUACAUCUGUAUCCUUACCAUGGAUCAGCUCUUCAUAAAAAGAAUCAAUAACGUUAAUAGCCUCAUGAGAGGCUUGGCGCUCUUUGCCACCAUCACAAGUGAUAAAGAAGCCCUGAACUCCUGGGCGUAAAGGGUAGGGGCCCUUCUUCUUCACUGGCUUAUUUUGGGGGAGAUAGCGUUGUUUCCUCUUCUUACUCUUGUUUGUGUUGGCGGUGGCAGCAGACUUCGGCUUGUUCUCGGUGGCCAUUGAGCAGAGCAGGAGCAAGAAGCGUCGUGUGCUCUCAGGGUUCGGCAGACACAAA